This 674-nucleotide ribosomal RNA is filed under the name Candida viswanathii. Its description in RNAcentral is "LSU rRNA". It matches the Rfam family "Eukaryotic large subunit ribosomal RNA", at positions 1 to 652 of the family's 3401-position model. The record is from RNAcentral. Lineage: Eukaryota; Fungi; Ascomycota; Pichiomycetes; Serinales; Debaryomycetaceae.
ACGCUUGUGCAGUCGGCCCACCACAGCUUUUCUAACUUUUGACCUCAAAUCAGGUAGGACUACCCGCUGAACUUAAGCAUAUCAAUAAGCGGAGGAAAAGAAACCAACAGGGAUUGCCUUAGUAGCGGCGAGUGAAGCGGCAAAAGCUCAAAUUUGAAAUCUGGCUCUUUCAGAGUCCGAGUUGUAAUUUGAAGAAGGUAUCUUUGGGCCUGGCUCUUGUCUAUGUUUCUUGGAACAGAACGUCACAGAGGGUGAGAAUCCCGUGCGAUGAGAUGACCCAGGUCCGUGUAAAGUUCCUUCGACGAGUCGAGUUGUUUGGGAAUGCAGCUCUAAGUGGGUGGUAAAUUCCAUCUAAAGCUAAAUAUUGGCGAGAGACCGAUAGCGAACAAGUACAGUGAUGGAAAGAUGAAAAGAACUUUGAAAAGAGAGUGAAAAAGUACGUGAAAUUGUUGAAAGGGAAGGGCUUGAGAUCAGACUUGGCAUUUUGCAUGUUGCUUCUUCGGGGGCGGCCUCUGCGGUUUGUCGGGCCAGCAUCAGUUUGGGCGGUAGGACAAUCGCGCGGGAAUGUGGCACGGCCUCGGCUGUGUGUUAUAGCCCGCGUGGAUACUGCCAGCCUAGACUGAGGACUGCGGUUUAUACCUAGGAUGUUGGCAUAAUGAUCUUAAGUCGCCCGU